CCUACGGGUGGCUGCAGUGGGGAAUAUUGGACAAUGGGCGAAAGCCUGAUCCAGCCAUGCCGCGUGUGUGAAGAAGGCCUUCGGGUUGUAAAGCACUUUCAGUGGGGAAGAAAGCCUUGGGGCUAAUACCCUCGAGGAAGGACAUCACCCACAGAAGAAGCACCGGCUAACUCCGUGCCAGCAGCCGCGGUAAUACGGAGGGUGCGAGCGUUAAUCGGAAUUACUGGGCGUAAAGCGCGCGUAGGCGGUCUGAUAAGCCGGUUGUGAAAGCCCUGGGCUCAACCUGGGAACGGCAUCCGGAACUGUCAGGCUAGAGUGCAGGAGAGGAAGGUAGAAUUCCCGGUGUAGCGGUGAAAUGCGUAGAGAUCGGGAGGAAUACCAGUGGCGAAGGCGGCCUUCUGGACUGACACUGACGCUGAGGUGCGAAAGCGUGGGUAGCAAACAGGAUUAGAUACCCUAGUAGU
Molecule: ribosomal RNA, 464 nt
Filed under: Vreelandella stevensii
Lineage: Bacteria; Pseudomonadati; Pseudomonadota; Gammaproteobacteria; Oceanospirillales; Halomonadaceae
Description: partial 16S ribosomal RNA
Rfam family: Bacterial small subunit ribosomal RNA
Source: RNAcentral